This is a long non-coding RNA of Malus domestica (apple), 623 nucleotides long. RefSeq lists it as uncharacterized. The record is from RefSeq and is a predicted model, not a curated record. Lineage: Eukaryota; Viridiplantae; Streptophyta; Magnoliopsida; Rosales; Rosaceae.
AAACAACUCCAUCCAUCUGCCCUUUUUUCUAUAUGUAUAUAUAUUCAUCAUCGAUCGUCUUCUAAACCAACAACUCUAAAGCAGUAACUCAAAGCCUUCCAAGUAUUUUGGUUAUCUAAAGUUCUAAACCCCAAUAUACCUUAUAAUCUUCCCCAGAUCUUCGCCUUUGUUCAAACAUGAGUACUACUAAUUCAGCAGCAGGACACCCCGCUCCAGCUUCCGGCGCCGCUCAGGGUCCCUAUUACGUGCAAGCUCCGCCACCAGCCGGCUACCCAACAAGAGAUGAACCCCAAAACGCGGUUCCGGUAGAAACCAAGUCAAAGGGUGAUGGCUUCUGGAAGGGCUGCUGUGCUGCCCUCUGUUGCUGUUGCAUGGUGGAUGCAUGUUUUUGAAGAUAUACCCAGCCAUUCAUACCGAUCAAUAUCUUUGAUCAUUUGUAUUUAUUUCUUCCUAGUUUUUUGUGUUAUUACAGUACAGUCACGGUGUGUGAUAUUGUUGAUGUAGAUUUGGACGGUGUCUGAUUGUCCAGUUUCUCAUCCUUGUAUAAUAAUUUUAGCUAUCUGGCUACCCUUUUUAUUUAUUUCUUUAUACUUUAUUUAGUGGUUGAUUUGUUUCUCUUUCAA